Molecule: non-coding RNA, 251 nt
Filed under: Azospirillum brasilense
Lineage: Bacteria; Pseudomonadati; Pseudomonadota; Alphaproteobacteria; Rhodospirillales; Azospirillaceae
Source: RNAcentral
CCGUAUCCCGCCGGAUACGGUCCCCGUUCGCCCCAGGGCGUCCGGGGCUAAAAGGGAAGCCGGUGAACCGUUCGCCUCGCCACGAGGAUGACGGCGAAGCCGGCGCUGCCCCCGCAACUGUGAGCGGAGAGCGGGUCCGCCGUUUCAGCGCCACUGGUGCCCAUCCCGGUUCGGGACGAUGGCUCCGGGAAGGCCGGACGGUCCCGCGACGACCCGUGAGCCAGGAGACCUGCCGGAUCCGUCGAACGCGA